UGGAUGCCUUGGCACUAGAAGCCGAUGAAGGACGUUACUAACAACGAUAUGCUUUGGGGAGCUGUAAGUAAGCUUUGAUCCAGAGAUUUCCGAAUGGGGAAACCCAGCAUGAGUUAUGUCAUGUUAUCGAUAUGUGAAUACAUAGCAUAUCAGAAGGCACACCCGGAGAACUGAAACAUCUUAGUACCCGGAGGAAGAGAAAGAAAAUUCGAUUCCCUUAGUAGCGGCGAGCGAAACGGGAAGAGCCCAAACCAACAAGCUUGCUUGUUGGGGUUGUAGGACACUCUAUACGGAGUUACAAAGGACGACAUUAGACGAAUCAUCUGGAAAGAUGAAUCAAAGAAGGUAAUAAUCCUGUAGUCGAAAAUGUUGUC
Molecule: ribosomal RNA, 374 nt
Filed under: Staphylococcus aureus
Lineage: Bacteria; Bacillati; Bacillota; Bacilli; Caryophanales; Staphylococcaceae
Description: partial 23S ribosomal RNA
Rfam family: Bacterial large subunit ribosomal RNA
Source: RNAcentral